AACGAACGCUGGCGGCAUGCCUAACACAUGCAAGUCGAACGAGACCUUCGGGUCUAGUGGCGCACGGGGCGUAACGCCGGGGGAACUUGCCCUUGGGUCGGGAAAACUUCCCGGAAGGGGGUCUUAAUCCCGGUAAUGUUUUUCGAACAAAGGAUUUAUCGCUUUUGGAUGGGCCCGCGUUGGUUUAGCUAGUUGGUAGGGUAAAAGCUUACCAAGGCGACGAUCCAUAGCUGGUCUGAGAGGAUGAUCAGCCACACUGGGACUGAGACACGGCCCAGACUCCUACGGGAGGCAGCAGUGGGGAAUAUUGGACAAUGGGCGAAAGCCUGAUCCAGCAAUGCCGCGUGAGUGAUGAAGGCCUUAGGGUUGUAAAGCUCUUUUACCCGGGAUGAUAAUGACAGUACCGGGAGAAUAAGCUCCGGCUAACUCCGU
Molecule: ribosomal RNA, 432 nt
Filed under: uncultured bacterium
Lineage: Bacteria
Description: partial 16S ribosomal RNA
Rfam family: Bacterial small subunit ribosomal RNA
Source: RNAcentral